This 614-nucleotide ribosomal RNA is filed under the name uncultured fungus. Its description in RNAcentral is "eukaryotic LSU rRNA". The stretch from base 244 to 397 matches the Rfam family "5.8S ribosomal RNA". The record is from RNAcentral. Lineage: Eukaryota; Fungi.
CUUGGUCAUUUAGAGGAAGUAAAAGUCGUAACAAGGUCUCCGUUGGUGAACCAGCGGAGGGAUCAUUACAAGAAGCCGAAAGGCUACUUCAAACCAUCGCGAACUCGUCCAAGUUGCUUCGGCGGCGCGGCACCCCGUAACUGGGGCGCCGCAGCCCUGCCUCCCCGGAGGUUCGGGGCGCCCGCCGGAGGUACGAAACUCUGUAUUAUAGUGGCGUCUCUGAGUAAAAAGCAAAUAAGUUAAAACUUUCAACAACGGAUCUCUUGGUUCUGGCAUCGAUGAAGAACGCAGCGAAAUGCGAUAAGUAAUGUGAAUUGCAGAAUUCAGUGAAUCAUCGAAUCUUUGAACGCACAUUGCGCCCGGUAGUACUCUACCGGGCAUGCCUGUUCGAGCGUCAUUUCAACCCUCAAGCUCUGCUUGGUGUUGGGGCCCUACGGCUGCCGUAGGCCCUGAAAGGAAGUGGCGGGCUCGCUACAACUCCGAGCGUAGUAAUUCAUUAUCUCGCUAGGGAGGUUGCGGCGUGCUCCUGCCGUUAAAGACCCAUCUUUAACCAAGGUUGACCUCGGAUCAGGUAGGAAUACCCGCUGAACUUAAGCAUAUCAAUAAGCGGAGGA